Strigops habroptila (Kakapo) is the source of this 4861-nucleotide long non-coding RNA. The record is from Ensembl. NCBI's taxonomy places the organism in Eukaryota, Metazoa, Chordata, Aves, Psittaciformes, Psittacidae.
UAAAUAUAAAAUUUAUUAAAACACCCACAAUAUUUUAAAGAUAUCAGGAAUAAUACAUUUCACAGCCCGGCGGCCGCGGCAACGCAGAAUAAAAUACAAAUUACAAAAUAAACCAACGAGAAAAAAAAACAACAACCCAGCAAUGAAACGAAAAGAACAAAAUCAAAACGGGGGGGGGAAGGAAAGGGGGGAGGAAAAAAAGGAUCCAAAUUUGUCAUUUUUAGGCAUCCUAAAAAAUAAAUUUACUGAACCAUGGGAAAAAGGGGAAAAAGGGUGUUAAAGGGGGGGAAAAAGAAAUCAAACAUAAAGAGGAAGGGGGGGGAAAUUAUACAAAAUAAAAUUAUCAGCAUAAAUUUACUGUCCUAAAAGUAUCUACAGUUUAAUACACAUUAAUCCUAUUGCCUUGAGACAUGGGGAUAAAAUCUACCGGUCCUCGAUCCACCCCGGAUCAAAACUUCAUUUCAAGUAACCACAGUCCCAACCAGGAAUCUUCAAGUGUGAAUGUUACGGAGCCGCCGGGACACCCCCGAUGUGUGUCCCCCCCCCUUCCGCCUGCCGCCGUCCCGCUCCCCUCCUCCGUGAUCCCAAAAAACCCCCCCCCCAAAUCCCUCCCCGCCUCCGACCGAAUUCCCGACUCUAAGAAGAAAUGGCGCUUGAUGUGUGAGUUGUGGUGGGAUUCUUACCUCUUUUCCAGGGGGGUUUGGGGGAGCGGUGGUGGAAAAACCAACUGACACCCCCUCCCCAAAAAAAAUAAAAGAAUCAACCCAAAAAGUUGCUCCUGGGGUUAAAAAUGAGGCUGAAAUUGCGGCAGUUUGAAAUCCCUGAAGGAUGCGGAAAAAUGAGGAACAAACCCGGGCGGAAAGGGAAAAAGGGGGGGGGGGGGGGGGACCCAUAAUAAUUAAGGAAGAAACCGCUGCGGAAGGAUCCCUGAUUUCGGAAAGAUUCGCCCCGGAUUCGCUCGGGGAAUUGGGGGGGGUUUGAGGUAUUUGCCUUGGUUGGGGGGCGUGGGGGGGAGCUGCUGCCCCAGCGCUGACGGGAAGCCGAAGGGGAAGGAAGUAGCACCAAUAAACCCCAAAACAUGGAAAAUAAAAGGGGGGGGGGGAAAAAAGGGGGAAAAGAAAGAGCCGGGCGGAAGCGGGAUGCGCGGCGCCGUGGGGCGGACACCGUGGUGUGGGGAGGGGAGGAUGAGCUGUGGGGUGAGCGCGGUGCCAAGCGCGGUGCCAAGCGCGGUGCUGAGCGGGGGACGUGCCCCGGGGUGUCCCGUGGGGUAAGCAGGGGCUGUGCACAAGCGCCGUGGAGGGGCACGGUGCUCAGCCACAGGGCGCCGUGCCCAGCACCGUGCCUGAGCACCACGGCCAAACAUCGCACCCGUGCACAGUGGAUGAGCACCAUACCCAAGCACCAUGGUCCAACACGUGCCCGUGCGUGGUGAGGGAGCACCAUGCCUUGUGUUUGUGCACAGGGUGGCCAAACACUGUGUCCAUGCACGGUGCCAAGCACCAUGCCCAAGCACCAUGGCCAAGCACUGUGUCCGUGCACGGUGCCAAGCACCAUGCCCAAGCACCACGGCCAAGCACUGUGUCUGUGCACGGUGCCAAGCACCAUGCCCAAGCACCACGGCCAAGCACCGUGUCUGAGCACGGUGGGUGAGCACCGUAUGUGCGGAGCAUGCCCAAGCACCACGUCCAUGCACCAUGCCCGUACCCCGUGCCCAAGCACCGUCCCCGAGCCCCAUGACUGAGCACCACAUCUAAGCACCAUGGCUGAGCACCGUGGUCAUGCACGGUGCCGGAGCACUGCAUCCACAUGCCAUGCCCUUGCACCGUGGUUGUGCACCGUGCACUGUCCAUGCACAGCACCCCCAUGCACCAGGCUGAGCACCAUGUUCACACCCCUUGCCUGAGCACCAGGUUCACACACUGUGUCCAAGCACCGCGGUCGAGCACCAUGUUCACGCGUCGCGGUCGAGCACCGUAACCAAGCACCGUGACUGAGCACCAUGUUCACAGACCCUGGUGAGCACCAUGUCCAUACACCAUGUUCAUGGCGCGCGGACAAGCACCAUGCCCCAGCACCGUGCCCACGCCCCAUGUCUGAGCACCGCAGUUGAGCACUGUGCUUGCAUCCUGUGUCCACGCACCACAGCACAGCACCGUGCCCAAGCACCAUGUCCAUGGUGCGUGGCCAAGCACCGUGCCCAAAGCACCACGUCCAUGGUGCGCGGCCCAGCACCAUGCCCAAGCACCAUUUCUACACACCAUGUUGGAGCACCGCGGUCGAGCGCCGUAGUCAAGCACCAUGUCCAUGCACUGUGGUCACACACCAUGUCCAAGCACCGUGGUCAAGCACCAUGUCGACGCACCAUGUUGACACACCACGUCCAAGCACCAUGUCCACGACGCAUGGCUGAGCACCGUGCCCGAGCACCAUGUCCACGCAUCAUGUCCAAGCACCGUGGUCGAGCACCUUGUCCACGCACCGUGUUGACACACCACGUCCAAGCACCACGCCUGAGCGCUAUGUCCAUGAUGCAUGGCUGAGCACCGUGCCCAAGCACCAUGACCAAGCACCAUGUCCAUACACCCUGGCCAAGCACCGUGUCCAUGCACCACAUCCAAAGCACCGCAUCCACGAUGGCUGGCUGAGCACCGUGUCCACACGCCACGUCCGAGCCCCAUGCUCGAGCACCACGUCCAAGCACCGCUGUUGAGCACCAUGUUCACACACCCUGGCUGAGCCCAGGCACCACAUCCAACCACCACCUCCAUGAUCUGUGGCCGAGCACCUCAACUGAGCACCUCAUCCAAGCACCACAUCAGCACCCCGGCCCCACUCCGGAGGGGAACGGCUCCGAUCUCGGUUUGCAUAAACCCAAGUGGCUCCCGGCACGCUUCGAGCUGUCGCUCCGGAAAAGUAAACUUCCUUCUCCACGACAUUGCUUUUUGUUUUGUUUGCUUGGUUCCCGAGUUUCGUAUAUACAUUAGUAGCACCUCAGCGAGAUGGAAUCAGGCAGAAGCGUGAUACAGUUUGUUAAAACACCAUUAGCACCGUUUUGAUUACAAGAUUUCAUUGAAUAAAAAUAUGCCUUAUAGAGCCCACAAAGCAUACUCCAGUAUUAAAAGGAAAAAUCAGCAAUUGAGGCACCUCAGGGAUUCUGCUUUCCUUCUCCUUCCCGUUGUCCCAAGAGUGACAAGACUGGGGGGGGGGGGGGGGAGACCCCAAAACACUUCCCGUUUCCUGCCCAAAGUGAAGCACCGUGGCUGGAAAAGCCAAAAAGUGAGGUGGAAGGAGCCCGUUUGGGCUCCCCAAGCCCAGCUCUCCCCAAGGUUUCUACCACGGGCGUUGUUCUAGCACCAUUGCGGCCACGACCUGCUGCAAAAUUAGGUCCCCAUCGCACCCCGAAGCGAUUAAAAACAUGCCCCCCCCACCCCCCCCAAGAAGUGAGUGCCCCUUAACCGUGGCUUCGGCACGGGUGGGACGAGCGCGGCCGCCGGGACGGGGAAAGGAAAAGCUUUAGCUUGAAAAAACAGCCUCUCAGCAGCAAGGGGUAAAGAGCUGUGCAUAGAUUUUGAGUUUUCGUACAAGUCUGAAGCGUGCUCAUUUAUAAUGACUGAGAUUUGAGGUAGGUUUAGACGUUAUGUAGUGUAAAAACGUGAGACUGCAGCAGUUCUCGCUCCCCGACCCGCGGCGCCGGCAUCUCCCCGCUUAAGCCCGGGUUGAUCCCGCCGGAUCCCCCCCAUCCCUGCACCAAAACCAACCCCCUCCGAGGAAGCAGGACUUAGACAGGUUACACGGACCCCCUUCUCCUCCCGAUUCCAAACCCAUCCAGGCGAAGCUCACAAGGCACCCCCGCCACGCCAGCCAGGCGACGCCAACCGGGGCCGGCACCCGAAUCCGGCCCCGUCCAACGCUGCCGGCCGGGAUCAGCCCGGUCCCAUUUUCACCCUCCCCACAUAUGGGAACCAGCAUCGCCUGCGGGUUAUCCCUAAAAUCUGACUCGCCCUCGACUCCUACAAUCCUGAUAUGCUAUUGGGUACGUCUAAGAAAAGCGGUAAAUAGCUCGUUGAGUUUCCUUGUCAAAUAUACGCGACUUUACAGGUUAAAAGUUAAAAACAAAAAAGGGGGAAUUAAUUCUGAAGGACGGACGAAGCAUGUUAAAUAUUCUGCCAGUAUUUACAGUUCUCCCACAAGAAUCUCGUUUCAAACGUAACUGCUUUCAAGUUGGUGGGGGUUGAGGGGAAAAGGGAUUGGGGUUGGUUUUUGUGGUGGUUUUUUUUCUUGGUUCUUUUUUUCUCUUUUUUUCUCUUUUUUAAGUUUCGCUUUCGUUUUGUUUUGUUUUUGUUUUUUUUUUUUUUAAAUCUAGGUGAAAGUGCUUUUAAAAAAAUUCUUUCCCUAUUUACAGGUUUAAAAUCAAGAGCACGGAAAUGACCCGGCUGCUUUCUAACCGAGAUCCUGCUGAUCUGUGCCAGUGCGCGAGGAAGGAAGGGGGAACAGUAAACACAAAGGUGAUUUCUGCACGGUGACGGCGUCGGCUCUGGCUCGCUGGCUCUCCAAAAGGCACCUCAAAGUGCAAAAGCAACGACCUCCCCGGGGACGCCGGCACCCGGAUUCGGCCACGCCGCCCUCCCGGUGAGCCACGGGGCAGCUCCUCGCCCGCCCAUCCAUCCAUCCAUCCAUCCAUCCAUCCAUGGAAUCAUAGAACGGUUUGGGUUGGAAAGGACCUUAAGAUCAUCCAGUUCCAACCCCCUGCCAUGGGCAGGGACACCUUCCACUAGACCAUCCAUCCAUCCAUCCAUCCAUCCAUCCAUCCAUCCAUCCAUCCCGGUGCGGCUUCGGCAUCGGCGACGGGCGGGAAGUUUCG